RNAcentral lists this ribosomal RNA (1604 nucleotides) under human gut metagenome. RNAcentral describes it as "bacterial LSU rRNA". It matches the Rfam family "Bacterial large subunit ribosomal RNA", at positions 468 to 2096 of the family's 2925-position model. The record is from RNAcentral.
AAAUACUCCUUAGUGACCGAUAGCGCAUAGUACUGUGAAGGAAAGGUGAAAAGGACCCCGGGAGGGGAGUGAAAGAGACCCUGAAACCCUGUGUUUACAAGCUGUGGGACAUCUUUACAUGAUGAACCGCGUACUUUUUGUAGAACGGUCCGGCGAGUUGCGGAUGCCGGCAAGGUUAAGCACUUAAGGUGUGGAGCCGAAGGGAAACCAAGUCUGAAGAGGGCGCAUAUAGUCAGUAUCCGCAGACCCGAAACCGGGUGAUCUCCCCAUGUCCAGGUUGAAGUUGCCGUAAAAGGCAAUGGAGGACCGAACGCACAUCCGUUGAAAAGGGUGGCGAGGAGGUGUGGGUAGGGGAGAAAUUCCAAUCGAACCCGGAGAUAGCUGGUUCUCCUCGAAAUAGCUUUAGGGCUAGCCUCGUUUUAGUCUUAUGGAGGUAGAGCACUGAAUUUCCGCGGGGGCGUCAAAGCUUACCAAAGAAUAUCAAACUCCGAAUGCCAUGUAGAUGAUGAACGGGAGUCAGACUGCACGAGAUAAGUUGGGCAGUCAAAAGGGAAAGAGCCCAGACCGCCAGCCAAGGUCCCAAAGUGUGUGUUAAGUGGAAAAGGAUGUGGGAUCUCCAAGACAACUAGGAUGUUGGCUCAGAAGCAGCCACACAUUCAAAGAGUGCGUAACAGCUCACUAGUCGAGAGGUCCUGCGCCGAAAAUGUCCGGGGCUGAAACACAACACCGAAGCUGCGGAAUUGCGAAUGCAAUUGGUAGAGGAGCAUUCUUAAUACCGACGAAGCUGUACCGGAAGGAGCAGUGGAGGGAUAAGAAGAGAGAAUGCCGGAAUGAGUAGCGAGAGAGAGGUGGGAAUCCUCUCGGCCGAAUAUCCAAGGUUUCCAGAGUAAAGCUGAUCUGCUCUGGGUAAGUCGGGGCCUAAGGCGAGGUCAAGAGACGUAGCCGAUGGACAACAGGUUUAGAUUCCUGUACCGCAUAUAAACAGAACUGUGGGGACGCAUGGGGAGAGCAUGGGCCGGGAAUGGAAAUACCGGUGCAAGCGAAGGAGGUGUGCAGCCGGCAAAUCCGCUGCAUGAGCCGAAAGCGUGACGCGGAGCGAAAUGAAAGUAGCGAAGCAUGUGAGCCCUGUGCCGAGAAAAGCCGCUAUAGCUUUAUAUGUGCCCGUACCGUAAACCGACACAGGUGGAUGAGGAGAGAAUCCUAAGGCCGGCGGAAGAAGUAUUGUUAAGGAACUCGGCAAAAUGACCCCGUAACUUCGGGAGAAGGGGUGCCCACGGGAGUGGGCCGCAGAGAAUAGGCUCAAGCAACUGUUUAGCAAAAACACAGGUCUAUGCGAAACCGAAAGGUGAAGUAUAUGGGCUGACGCCUGCCCGGUGCUGGAAGGUUAAGAGGAGAGGUUAGCGCAAGCGAAGCUUUGAAUUUAAGCCCCAGUAAACGGCGGCCGUAACUAUAACGGUCCUAAGGUAGCGAAAUUCCUUGUCGGGUAAGUUCCGACCCGCACGAAAGGCGUAAUGAUUUGAGCACUGUCUCGACAAUACAUCCGGUGAAAUUGAAGUACCAGUGAAGAUGCUGGUUACCCGCGCCAGGACGGAAAGACCCCAUGG